Non-coding RNA from Salmo salar (Atlantic salmon), 54 nucleotides. NCBI's taxonomy places the organism in Eukaryota, Metazoa, Chordata, Actinopteri, Salmoniformes, Salmonidae. The record is from Rfam.
UUCAUUCACUACUGUAAGUCGCUCUGGAUAAGAGCAUCUGCUAAAUGACUGAAA